Molecule: long non-coding RNA, 1411 nt
Organism: Archocentrus centrarchus (flier cichlid)
Lineage: Eukaryota; Metazoa; Chordata; Actinopteri; Cichliformes; Cichlidae
Exons: 2
Source: RefSeq, a predicted model, not a curated record
CUGUUUUUGUUUGUUUGUUUGUUUUGUUUGUUUGUUUUUCAGUCCACUGACUGUCUCAGAAUAUUAAAGUGGAUCUGAUACGCAGCAGCCUUUCUAGCAUGCAUGGACAAAUUUGACUUUAUUUUUCACAUGUACUGUAAGUGGAAUUGAUAAUAUAAGGGUGUAUUUGCUUUUAGUUUAAUGACACACAUGCAUAUUGUUUAACAAUCUCUCUCAUUGCCCCAAAUUCUGUAAUGUGCACAACAGUGUAAUUUAGUGCAUCCAUUCUGGACCUAAAUCCCCUUCCAGCUUUUAAGGGGUUAAUGGCAAUAAUGACACUAGUUGAAGUCUAACAAUAAGUUGCAAUGGUAUUGUCUUCUAUUGGCCAUACUGAAGGCUAAAUUGCUCUUUUUUUCUGGGGUUCUGGUUGUGCUGUAAGAAGACCACCAGGACUGAUGAGAUUUGUCUGCAUCUACACAGGAAUACAAUAUGGUCUUCAUCUCAGGGAGGUGUAACUGGUUGCUUUUGUGAAAUUCAACACUGCUGUUGAGAGCUGAACAUGUACUGAAUCCAUUCCACCACAGAGACUUGUAGAAUGUGUUGGUAGAUGAGGUAGAAAGGACUGAACUACAGUAUAACUGUAAUGGUUUCACAAAACAGUAUUGAUAUUGUAGAGUGUUUUAAAGGGUAAUUCAGCUUUACAUAUAUAGACAGUAUAUAUAUAUAUAUAUAUAUAUUAUUCAAAGCUUAUGUAGCAUUCUUCUUUCUUACAUGUCAUGUUAAGAAAUUAAAGAUGUUGACUUUAAAGCCAGUAUUGUAUAAAUAAGCACUAUAAGGAAAAACUAUAGAUGAAUAAUAUAUCACUGUUGUGGACCAGAUUAAGUUGUAAUUGCUAUCUGUUUACAAUAUAAGUGAUUUUAUCUACUGUCAUUUUCAGUGCUGUGUCAACUGCAGACCUGUGUUUGAUAAAUGUGUAGCUUUGACUGUGUCGUUAAAGCGUUUAAUUUCUCAGAGACCUCUAAGGUUAUUGACAGCUGAAAUCACUUGAAUAUGGAGCUGGAGAUUUAUACUGUAGAGAAAAAGAAAAAAAAAAAUCAUCACGGACUGGAAAGUGGAAGAGCUGCUGCUGGCCGAUGUCAGAGCUGCCAGCUGACGUGAGAGAUGCCACCGCCAAUGACGUUAUGAAUAAUUUCUAUAAAUGUGUUUUUUUAAUAUUGCAAAUAAGACAUGCACGUAUGAUUUGUUACUGCAAAGAAAAAAAUUAUAACUGCAUUGCUCCGCCUGAGUAAUAAUGUCUCUGUCCAGGCAUUGCUUUGGAUCAGUCAUUUCUCCUUCAUCACAAGACGUCCUCAUACACCCCCUAGUCCUAUUGUGCUCUGGGUUAUGUGCUUUAUUGUGUCUGAGAAAAGAAUAAAAGACACUUGCAAUGACA